CACUAGAUGGCUGAAAGUAAGUAAUGGUCUCUUAAACCAAUUUAUAGUAAAUUGACGUCUACUUC
RNAcentral lists this transfer RNA (65 nucleotides) under Nicrophorus maculifrons. RNAcentral describes it as "tRNA-Lys". Lineage: Eukaryota; Metazoa; Arthropoda; Insecta; Coleoptera; Silphidae. The record is from RNAcentral.